Quercus lobata is the source of this 456-nucleotide long non-coding RNA. RefSeq lists it as uncharacterized. Lineage: Eukaryota; Viridiplantae; Streptophyta; Magnoliopsida; Fagales; Fagaceae. The record is from RefSeq and is a predicted model, not a curated record. The transcript is spliced from 4 exons.
UCAGCCUCUCAAAAAGACUGGUAAGCUCUCUCUCUCAUGUUAAACUUGGUGACAUUGUGGAUUAUUUUUUCUUCUUUCAGGAUUAGCAGGAUGUUGAUUUUGGGAUUAGAGAGGGUGUUAAUUUUAGGACAUAGAUUUUGGGAUUGGAGAAGAUUGCAAGGGAGCCGGAUGAGACUGGGGGUUCACCUAGGGUACUUGACGCUGAGAAGUCGUUUUAUUAUCACGGGGAGUGCUUGAGGCAGGCAUUGGCUGAUGAUUUGCACCAAAGGCUUUCUACAAAAUAGGACAUAAAGUCUUUGAGGAAUGGAUGACUAUCAGCACUGAACACCUUUGCUUCUCUGGUUGAGUUUCCUUGGCUUUCUGCAAGUAUAAGCUGAGAUAUAGGAUUGGUGGCAAAACGAUAGCUUUUGUGGACUACUUGAACUCAAAUAUUUUCUAUAAAGUUUGGAAGCUAAG